Molecule: transfer RNA, 72 nt
Filed under: Bos taurus (domestic cattle)
Lineage: Eukaryota; Metazoa; Chordata; Mammalia; Artiodactyla; Bovidae
Also listed under: 3 other names
Rfam family: tRNA
About the family: Transfer RNA (tRNA) molecules are approximately 80 nucleotides in length.
Source: Rfam by way of RNAcentral
UUCCUGGUGGCUCAGAUGGUAAAGCGUCUGCCUGCAAUGCAGGAGACCCGGGUUCGAUUCCUGGGUUGGGAA